AUUGAACGCUGGCGGCAUGCCUUACACAUGCAAGUCGAACGGCAGCGGACCUUCGGGUGCCGGCGAGUGGCGAACGGGUGAGUAAUAUAUCGGAACGUACCUUUCAGUGGGGGAUAACGUAGCGAAAGUUACGCUAAUACCGCAUAUUCUGUGAGCAGGAAAGCAGGGGAUCGCAAGACCUUGCGCUGAUUGAGCGGCCGAUAUCAGAUUAGCUAGUUGGUGAGGUAAAGGCUCACCAAGGCGACGAUCUGUAGCGGGUCUGAGAGGAUGAUCCGCCACACUGGAACUGAGACACGGUCCAGACUCCUACGGGAGGCAGCAGUGGGGAAUUUUGGACAAUGAGCGUAAGCCUGAUCCAGCCAUGCCGCGUGAGUGAAGAAGGCCUGGUGUAAG
Molecule: ribosomal RNA, 393 nt
Filed under: uncultured bacterium
Lineage: Bacteria
Description: bacterial SSU rRNA
Rfam family: Bacterial small subunit ribosomal RNA
Source: RNAcentral